UACGUAGGGUGCAAGCGUUAUCCGGAAUUAUUGGGCGUAAAGAGCUCGUAGGCGGUUUGUCGCGUCUGCUGUGAAAACUGGGGGCUCAACCCCCAGCCUGCAGUGGGGUACGGGCAGACUAGAGUGCGGUAGGGGGAGAUUGGAAUUCCUGGUGUAGCGGUGGAAUGCGUAGAGAUCCGGAAGAACACCGGUGGCGAAGGCGGCCUGUCUGGGCAGUUUUUGG
Molecule: ribosomal RNA, 223 nt
Filed under: uncultured bacterium
Lineage: Bacteria
Description: partial 16S ribosomal RNA
Rfam family: Bacterial small subunit ribosomal RNA
Source: RNAcentral